CCUACGGGAGGCAGCAGUGAGGAAUAUUGGUCAAUGGCCGGAAGGCUGAACCAGCCAAGUCGCGUGAGGGACGACUGCCCUAUGGGUUGUAAACCUCUUUUAUCAGGGAAGAAUAAAUGCUACGUGUAGCAUGAUGCCUGUACCUCAUGAAUAAGCAUUGGCUAACUCCGUGCCAGCGGCCGCGGAAAUACGGAGGAUGCGAGGGUUAUCCGGAUUUAUUGGGGUUAAAGGGUGCGUGGGGGGUUUUUUAGUGAGUGGUUAAACGUCGGGGCUUCACCUUGAUUUGCCAUUAAUACUGUAGGACUCGAGUGCAGGCGAGGUAGGCGGAAUAAGUGAAGUAGCGGUGAAAUGCUUAGAUAUAACUUAGAACUCCGAUAGCGAAGGCAGCUUACCGGACUGCGACUGACGCUGAAGCACGAGAGCGUGGGUAGCGAACAGGAUUAGAUACCCCUGUAGUC
RNAcentral lists this ribosomal RNA (458 nucleotides) under uncultured bacterium. Its description in RNAcentral is "partial 16S ribosomal RNA". It matches the Rfam family "Bacterial small subunit ribosomal RNA", at positions 338 to 795 of the family's 1533-position model. The record is from RNAcentral.